Molecule: non-coding RNA, 2567 nt
Organism: Paralichthys olivaceus (Japanese flounder)
Lineage: Eukaryota; Metazoa; Chordata; Actinopteri; Pleuronectiformes; Paralichthyidae
Source: the annotation of a RefSeq genome assembly
AAAGUCGGGUUGUCUCUCCAAACAUCACACUUUACCCUGUCUGGGAAGGUGAAUUUGGGGUCUCCCCAGUCAGACUCAUCUGCACCCUAAGUGGCUUCUUCCCUGACCAAUUGCAAGUGGAGUGGCAUAAGGACAACCAUCUCUUACAUAUUACUCCAACUCAAACGAAGCUGCAGAGUAUGCAAGGAGAAGAGAAAACCUUCAGUCUAAUCAGCGAUAUUGAGGCCGUGAAUUGGAAAAGCAACUCAACAUUUACAUGCAAGGCUCAACACAACAACGACAAGAAAUUUACAAAAACAGUAAAUUUUGUUCAAAUUUGUUCAAGUGCUGCUCCUUCCAUUGAUGUGGAGAUUCCCAGCUUCAGGACUGUAAUGACAGAAUCUGCAGUGACAGCAAAAUGUUCUGUCAACAAUCGUUUUGGCGCCAAGGUCACCUGGCUGAUGGAUGGAAAAGCUGAAUCAAAAUACAUAGUAACAUCGAAUGCAAACCAAACUCAUACCAUCAGUGAAGUGGCGGUUCCCCCAAGUCAGUGGAAACAACUCAAAUCUAUAACAUGUAAAGCUGACCAUCAGUGUUUCUCCACUCAGAGGACUGUGAAUGUUGCAGGUCCUGCAGUUACAAAUGCAUCAGUGGAGAUCAAGAGAUCUUUCCCAGAUUUGCUGAAGGGACAAAGUGCUGUGCUCGAGUGCGACAUCACAAAACUCUCCUCUAGUGACCUCUACGUCACCUUUCAAGCCAACGAUAGCGACAUCUCUGAAAAACAGUAUGUUGUUCUUCCUGAAGCCCCAGACCCCCAGUCAAUCACCAGACGCUUCUCCAUCCCUUCAAGUUAUUGGAAGAAAGACACAACUUUCUCCUGCAAAGUCCAUCAAGGCUUCUCCCCCAGCGUCAAGUCAAAGUCGACUGGCAACAUUUUUGUGGACCCUUCUGUGGAACUUCUACUGUUCCCCAACGAAUUGUCAGGACCACAGAGACUCUUAUGCUCUGGACGGGGCUUCAACCCUAAAAUUCAAUGGUUGUCUGUGUCCAACAAACUACCUUCAAACAACGACGUCACCAUGGGAGCAGAUGGACGUGUGGUAGUAACCAGUCAACUUCAGAUUCCCCAAACUGAGUGGGAAACAGGGAAAGUCUAUAGUUGUGAGGUGUCUGACACGUCCCUGAGUAAAACUGUCUCCAAGAAUAUCAGCCUCUGCUCAGUAACUCCAGCAUCCUCUCAGAUAGUUGGCGUAUAUGUUCAGGGGCCGCCACUCGAGGAAUUCAAGAAAAAGGAACAGGUGACUAUCACCUGUCUUCUUGUCGGCUCUCGUCUUAAUGAAUUCUCCAUCACCUGGAAAGUAGCUGGGAAAAAAUCUUCUCUGAAUUUCAAAAAAGAGCCACCAGUGAGUCACAGCAAUGGGACAGAGAGUUUGAUGAGCGUCUUCAGUCCGUCCGCAGAGGACUGGCAUGCGCAUAAACAAGUGUCCUGUGAAGCAAAGCACCUAUGCUCCAGCCAGGGCUACGAGGGCCAUACAAGCAAAAGCAGAGUCCUUCAUCAACCAACAGUGAAGAUAAUACAACCAACUGCCUCUGAGCUCUCUGCACCAGACGACCUCCCACUUAUUUGCCUAGUCUCUGGGUUCUACCCACCCAAUGUCAUCGUGUACUGGGAAGGGAGUGGCCAGAGACUCCCAUCAACUCGCUACACCAACAGUGAUGUGUGGACAUACACAGGGAACAGUUCUUAUUCAAUGAGCAGCAGACUGAACAUAUCCAAAACUGAAGACAAGAGCUCUACGUAUUCUUGCUUUGUCAGACAUGAGUCAUCUGAAAAGCCUUUUAAAAACACAAUAAAGAAUGUGUUUGCUACAGUCACUCACACUAAACCUUCAGCCACCUUGCUCCAAGGCACAAACGAACUUGUGUGCCUGGUCUUCGGCUUCAGCCCCGCAUCCAUUAACAUCACAUGGUUCCUUGAUGAAUCCACGCAACUGUUGGACUACAACACUAGCAAGCCCCACAAAAGCCAGAAUGGAAAGUUCAGUGUCCGAAGCCACCUUCGUCUGCCCAAAGGCAACUGGUUACCAGGAGCAACCGUAACCUGCAGGGUGUCACAUGCAACCACCAACCUAUCCCUGAAUAUAUCGAACCUAGACAACUUGGAGCACUGCACUUUCUUCGAUGAACUUUUGAAUGCUGAUGUGAAUCAAGAUAUAGGUGUGGAAAGCUGGUAUAUGGCUUUAACUUUUCUGCUUCUUUUCCUGAUCUCUGUCAUCUUUGGUGUCUCAGCUACCAUGAUUAAAACUAAAUGAUGGUGAUCGCGGGACAGAUCCCUUGUAAUGAUCCAAAUUUGGAUAGUUAAUGUCUUAUGGCUUAGAAAGUUUUAACUUUUUUAAUUCUUUUUCCCUUUUUCUUUAUUUUAUGUUUCUAUUAUUGUGGAUUGCAUUGUAUUGCCUCUUCAAAUGUCAACGUUGAGUUUUAAAUCCCAAUAUAAUGAACAAAUAUUCUUUGACUGGAGUCUUUCUUGUUCUUCAAAAACGAUGUUGAUAACAAAAACGAUGUUGAUAACAAUAAAAUAAAUGAUAACA